RNAcentral lists this transfer RNA (67 nucleotides) under Quasilineus sinicus. RNAcentral describes it as "tRNA-His". It matches the Rfam family "tRNA". Rfam says of the family: Transfer RNA (tRNA) molecules are approximately 80 nucleotides in length. Their secondary structure includes four short double-helical elements and three loops (D, anti-codon, and T loops). Further hydrogen bonds mediate the characteristic L-shaped molecular structure. tRNAs have two regions of fundamental functional importance: the anti-codon, which is responsible for specific mRNA codon recognition, and the 3' end, to which the tRNAs corresponding amino acid is attached (by aminoacyl-tRNA synthetases). tRNAs cope with the degeneracy of the genetic code in two manners: having more than one tRNA (with a specific anti-codon) for a particular amino acid; and 'wobble' base-pairing, i.e. permitting non-standard base-pairing at the 3rd anti-codon position. Lineage: Eukaryota; Metazoa; Nemertea; Pilidiophora; Heteronemertea; Lineidae. The record is from RNAcentral.
GUAUAAGUAGUUUAUGAAUAAAACGUUAAUUUGUGGUGUUAAAAAUACUUGGUUAAAGUCUUGUACA